RNAcentral lists this ribosomal RNA (254 nucleotides) under uncultured bacterium. RNAcentral's name for it is "partial 16S ribosomal RNA". It matches the Rfam family "Bacterial small subunit ribosomal RNA", at positions 524 to 776 of the family's 1533-position model. The record is from RNAcentral.
UACGUAGGGGGGCAAGCGUUGUCCGGAAUUAUUGGGCGUAAAGAGCGCGUAGGCGGUCCGAUAAGUCGGCUGUGAAAGUCAGGGGCUCAACCCUUGAAAGCCGGCCGAUACUGUCGGACUAGAGUCCGGAAGAGGCAAGUGGAAUUCCCGGUGUAGCGGUGAAAUGCGCAGAUAUCGGGAGGAACACCAAUGGCGAAGGCAGCUUGCUGGGACGGUACUGACGCUGAGGCGCGAAAGCGUGGGGAGCAAACAGG